Long non-coding RNA from Rhipicephalus sanguineus (brown dog tick), 837 nucleotides. RefSeq lists it as uncharacterized. NCBI's taxonomy places the organism in Eukaryota, Metazoa, Arthropoda, Arachnida, Ixodida, Ixodidae. The transcript has 3 exons. The record is from RefSeq and is a predicted model, not a curated record.
GCUCCGCCCCCGUAGCCUUCCCUUCAUUGCCAAGAAAAGUUGUCCUUGGGGGCGCUUUAGUUGUUUGACGGGUGCACGAUGCGCGCGGUUUGUGUGUGUGUGUGCCAUGCUGUGUUCUGCAAUGCUUCGUUACCACGUUUAUCGAUUAUGCACGUUGGUUACUUGAUUCAAUGUCAAGUGUACCUUCCAAGACGAUCUAGGUCCUAGUCUCGUGACUGAAGGCGAGUGCGGACGUACAGCAGCCUUUUGACAAGACUGUCGCCGAGUGUACGGUACAUUGUGGACUGUAAAGCUGAAGAGUGCACAGUGGAUGCCUGAUUUUGGAACCGAGUGUGAUCGUCUGGGCGGUGUGUUCACUCUGCGGGGAUGAUGGCCAGAGGAAGGAUGAUAGACAGACGACAGCUUGCAGACGAAGAUGGGAGCGUUCUACCUGUGAGCCUGGUCGAGCUUAUAUUUUAUGGUAGGCAUUUGUUUCAAUCUUUACAAAGAGCUUCGACAUGUUGCGCCUGCUCAUGAACCUAUUGCAACUUUUUUGAGGGAAUUCUAAGAUCAAAGAAACAAGACCCUAGACGUAACUCCAUUAAUGUAUACUUGAUGCUAGACUUGACCUUCUGUGUUGUUUUCCUGUUUUCUUACAGGAUUUGCUGAAAGUUUCUAUUGGAAAUGCGAUAUAAGAUGCAAUUUUGACUAACUCUAACUUCACAAAAGUGCUUUUUGUCAACUACCUGCACGGGGCCUUGGCAGUACAUCUAAGUGUUCUAAGGUGCACGAUGUGUUGGAUAAAGUUUUCUUUGCAACUCUUAUAUAUUUACUGCGAUCUUUCGUGCAGGAUACACA